CUUUCCUCUAACAACACGUGGAAGAGAAAAUACCACUUCUGAGUGAGAGAAGGUAUUUUUGGAGGUAUGUGUUACCUGUCUACCAUAUACCCCACUUAGCGUGUUUGAUACAAUUUACUUAUUAUAUUUAUUAUUUAUUAUCUAUCUAAUCUUGCUAGAAUGUAAACUUUACAAGGAAGCAUUCUUUGUCUGUUUUGUUCCCUGGAAUGUCUAAAACACUUGUAACAAUUUUGGGCAUAUAAUUAGUAUUUAAUAAAUAUUUGUUUCACUAAAACCUUCACUAAAAUGCUGGUUUAGUUCUGCUGAAUUUUGUGUUCCCCAAACUUGGUUGAUCUCAGAUCUCCUUUAAAAAAUCCACCAGACUUUUGAAUAUUAUUCAAAAAAUAAAAAAAUCUCCCCCAGAGCAACCAGUUUGGGAAAUUCUGAUUUAUAGGCAAAUCUCUGCCUUACACAUCCUCCUCAUCAAAAUUCUAGGUCCUGGCACCUUGAGAUUACUUUUUUUUUUUUUUGUCUUUUCCAGGGCCACACCUGCAGCAUAUGGAGAUUCCCAGCCUAGGGGUCUAAUCAGAACUGUAGACGCUGGCCUGCACCAGAGCCACCGCAACUCAGGAUCCGAGAUGCGUCUGCAACCCACACCAGAGCUCACAGCAAUGCUGGAUCCUUAACCCACUGGCGAGGCCAGAAAUUGAACCUGUAACCUCAUGGUUCCUAUUCGGAUUUUUUAACCACUGAGCCACAACAGGAACUCCAUCUUGAGAUUACUUUUGAUGAAUACUAAACUAUUAAGUUCACAAUGAAAUGUUAGUAGCUGAUAAAGAGUAACCAAGACCAUAAGAGGGGAUUUCUUGAAGCAAUACUUUGACUUAAAGCAUUUAAUGCUUUAAUGAAGCAUUAAAGUGGAAGUUGUCCACAUUUCAGGCCAACAGUAGAGCUAUUGGGGCCCAGGUUUUUCAGGAAUAUCUGGCAGGUCAUCUGCCUCCUCUUCACCAUCACUCAAUCCUAUCAGGGUGCCAUGGGUGCCCCCUUACAUUGUAGAAAGGGCACAUAUCCAACUGACCUCUUUAUUGAAUAAUCUUUGCUACAGUAACUACCCAUAUCAACAUUAUCAUUAAGGGAGGAAUAAAAGAAGUUUGUAUCUUGUCAGUAUGAAUUUUAAGCGUGCAUAAAAAUAAAUAUAAGGCAAUAGGCCAGGCCACAAAGAGUCGGCGCAUAGAAGCUCUUAGGAUUUCAAUUAAAUUACAGUAAGGCAUCUGUCUCUGUUGAUGCUGAAUCCACUCCUUAACCUUAUCCCUUUAGUGCUUUCUUUGCAAACCCAGUAAGCUUCUUAAGAAAAAAGCCGAAAACCACAUCUGUCAAAAUUAGAAAGUGGUAACUACUAGGAAACAAAAUUAAUCACAGGGUCAUUGGAGAAUUUCAUAAUGAUUUAAGCUCUCCCUCGCAUAAAUUGCCUCCUGUUCAUUCUCCUUCCACACUGAUGAUGUCAGCUAGUUUCUAGACCUCUGGGAGGGAGCCAAAGAGAACACUUGGAUAGCAUAGCUGUGUCUUCGGUAUUCAUCCUGGGAUAUGCAGCGAUUUUAUUUACAAAGAGAAAACACAAGGAAAGUGGAGGUCUUAUUUAUAUUGGAUCAAGAACAUCUGAAAACAACAAUAACAAAUUUUAAGCCUCCAGAAAAUUUGCAAUGUGUCUGCAUGAUGUCAAGUAGGCAAAAUAUCUUGAGUGGGAAAUUGCAAAGUCAUAGAAUGUUGACAUAGAAAUACCUUUGGAGAGCAUUUAGACUGUCUACAGUCUUCUCUUUUUUACAAAUGAGGAAACUAAGACUGGAGAGAUUAAGUAUAUACUCCAUUUGCUUUUUCUAAUUAAACUAUAGUUAAUUUACAGUGUUGUGUCAAUUUCUGCUGUGUAGCAUAGUGACCCAGUCAUACACACACACACUGUCUUUUUCUCAUACUACUUUGUUUUUAUUAUUAUUUUUUAUUUAUUAUUUAUUUAUUUAUCUUUUUAGGGAAGCACCUGUGGCAUAUGGAGGUUCCCAGGCUAGGGGUCCAUUCGGAGCUGUUGCUGCUAGCUAAUGCCAGAGCCGCAACAAUGCCAUAUAUGAGCCGGGUCUGCGACCUACACCACAGCUCAUGGCAAUGCCGGAUCCUUAACCCACUGAGCGAGGCCAGGGAUCGAACCUGCAACCUCAUGGUUCCUAGUCAGAUUCGUUUCCACUGUGCCACGAAGGGAACUCCAUUUUUUAAUUUUUAAUUUUAUUUGAUUAUUUUUAUUUUUUGCCUUUUUAGGGCCGCAUCUGUGGCAUAUGGAGGUUCUCAAGUUAGGGGUCCAAUCAGAGCUGUAGCCGCUGGCCUACACCAGAGCCACAGCAAUGUGAGAUCUGAGCCACGUCUGCAAGCUACACCAGAGCUCAUGGCAAUGCCGGAUCCUUAACCCACUGAGCAAGGCCAGGGAUCGAACUCUCAUCCUCAUGGAUGCUGGUAGGGUCCGUUAACCACUGAGCCACGACAACAACUCUAUUUUGUUUUUGUUUUUCGUUUUAAUUUUGUUUGGGUACAUUGGAAAUAUAAUAAAACCUGGCCAUGCCAAGUGCAGCCAGUAGAGGGCAUUUUCUAUCCCUCCAAAAAACGUUGCUCUUACUCAGAAAUGGUGUUUUCUCUUUCGUUUCCCAGAACUUCCAGAGACCCACUAGAGUAUCUUUCUUCCCCCCCAUUUCAGCCCCCGUCCCAUUUCAUUCCUGUUAUAAAAAAUCCGCAGUGAUGAGAGUGGGGACUCUGCUUUAGAGUGAGUGACCAGAAAGCAAUCUUCAUCUUAGUGUAAUAAUGUAAUGUAACCACAAGAUGGUAGCAUAGACUGUACAAAUUGUUUAAGUAGUGGCCCCCCCCCCCCGCGCCAAGGAAAACUACAAACUAAAUGGUUAGUGCUUAUCAGCUGCAAAAUUAAAUGAAAAAAUUAAUGCUAUUAUGCCAAAUGAUUCCAGCAAAAAGAAAAUUCCUGUUAUCGAGGAAAAUGCAGUCAUUUACCUUGUAUGAGGACUAAUGAUAUUUGCUAGUUUCUCUGAUGGAAAACAAGUCCAUCUUUAAGGUCUCCAGUCUUUUCUAGAUAUAAAAAUAGCAUAUCUUUUAAAUCUCUGAGACUGUUAGGUGAUAGAAAGAAACUUUCCAAAGAAAGACAAAUAUGUGAGGUGACUUAUAUGUGGAAUUAAAAAAAAUUAUACAAAUGGAUUUAUUUACAAAACAGAAACAGACUCACAGACAUAGAAAACAAACUUACCAAACGAGAGAGGUGAGGAAGGGGUGGAAGGGAUAAAUUAGGAGUUUGGGAUUGGCAGAUACAAACUACUACGUAUAAAAUAGAUAAACAACAAGGUCUUAUCGUAUAGAACAGGAUAUUAUAUAUUCAGUAUCUUGUGGAAGUUCCUGUUGUGGCUCAGUGCGAAUGAACCAGACUAGCAUCCAUGAGGAUGGGGGUUUGACCCCUGGCCCCACUCAGUGGGCUAAGGAUCCAGUGUUGCUGUGAGCUGCAGUGUAGGUUGCAGACAUGGCUCAGAUCUGGUGUUGCUGUGGCUGUGGUGUAGGCUGUCAGCGGCAGCUCAGAUUCAACCCCUAGGUUGGGAACUUCCAUAUGCUGC
RNAcentral lists this long non-coding RNA (3626 nucleotides) under Sus scrofa (pig). RNAcentral describes it as "lncRNA (ENSSSCG00000063077.1)". Lineage: Eukaryota; Metazoa; Chordata; Mammalia; Artiodactyla; Suidae. The record is from RNAcentral.